RNAcentral lists this unclassified non-coding RNA (401 nucleotides) under soil metagenome. RNAcentral describes it as "partial contains 5.8S ribosomal RNA, internal transcribed spacer 2, and large subunit ribosomal RNA". The stretch from base 1 to 121 matches the Rfam family "5.8S ribosomal RNA", at positions 35 to 154 of the family's 154-position model. The record is from RNAcentral.
GAUGAAGAACGUAGCGAAAUGCGAUAAGUAAUGUGAAUUGCGGAAUUCAGUGAAUCAUCGAACCUUUGAACGCACCUUGCGCCCCUUGGUUAUUCCAAAGGGCAUGCCUGUUUGAGUAUCAUGAACACCUCAACUCUUGUGGUUUCCCACAAUGAGCUUGGACUGUGGAGGUUUUGUUGGCCCUGUGGUCAGCUCCUCUCAAAUGGAUCAGCUUACCGGUGUUUGGUGGCAUUACGGGUGUGAUAACUAUCUACGCUCGUGGUCGUCUCCAAAUAACCUCCAGUGAUGGAGGUUCGCUGGAGCUUAUAAAUGUCUCUCCCCAGUGAAGACAGCCUUUGAACGUUCGAUCUCAAAUCAGGUAGGACUACCCGCUGAACUUAAGCAUAUCAAUAAGCGGAGGA